GGUGGUGAUCAAGUGGUUUAGGGUGCUUGAUUUUCACCUCAGGUGUCCGAGGUUUGAAUCCUCGCCAUCACCA
RNAcentral lists this transfer RNA (73 nucleotides) under Fasciola hepatica (liver fluke). It matches the Rfam family "tRNA". From Rfam's summary of the family: Transfer RNA (tRNA) molecules are approximately 80 nucleotides in length. Their secondary structure includes four short double-helical elements and three loops (D, anti-codon, and T loops). The record is from Rfam by way of RNAcentral. Lineage: Eukaryota; Metazoa; Platyhelminthes; Trematoda; Plagiorchiida; Fasciolidae.